CAUAUACUCCCUCCGUCUCAUAUUAAGUGACUUUCUAUUACAUGUAUCUAGACGCUUUUUAGGCAUAGAUACAUCCAUAUUUGGACAAUUUGAGUCACUUAUAAUGGGACGGAGGGAGUAUCUA
Non-coding RNA from Brachypodium distachyon (stiff brome), 124 nucleotides. The record is from Rfam. Lineage: Eukaryota; Viridiplantae; Streptophyta; Magnoliopsida; Poales; Poaceae.